UACGUAGGGUGCAAGCGUUGUCCGGAAUUAUUGGGCGUAAAGAGCUCGUAGGCGGUUUGUCGCGUCGAAUGUGAAAACCCGGGGCUCAACCCCGGGCCUGCAUUCGAUACGGGCAGACUAGAGUUCGGUAGGGGAGUCUGGAAUUCCUGGUGUAGCGGUGAAAUGCGCAGAUAUCGGGAGGAACACCAGUGGCGAAGGCGGCGACCUGGGCCAAUACUGACGCUGAGGUGCGAAAGCGUGGGGAGCAAACAGG
This 253-nucleotide ribosomal RNA is filed under the name uncultured bacterium. Its description in RNAcentral is "partial 16S ribosomal RNA". It matches the Rfam family "Bacterial small subunit ribosomal RNA", at positions 524 to 776 of the family's 1533-position model. The record is from RNAcentral.